Epinephelus moara (kelp grouper) is the source of this 462-nucleotide long non-coding RNA. RefSeq lists it as uncharacterized. The record is from RefSeq and is a predicted model, not a curated record. Lineage: Eukaryota; Metazoa; Chordata; Actinopteri; Perciformes; Serranidae. The transcript is spliced from 3 exons.
AGAGGAUGGGAGGUAAUCUGCUGUUAAUGACUGGCACAUCAACUACAUCUGUAUUGACCCUGAAUUCCUGCUUUGCUACAAUGCAAACACUCCACACUCCUGAAAACCCAAUUUUUAAGUAAAUCAUUGACAAGACUGUUUUAACACUCUCUUGGUCGUUAACAACUGUUUUGAUGUUUUCCCGUCAGGAUUUCGAUCACACCACAACACAGAAGCUGCUGUUGAUAUGGUCUUGAAUGAUACCUACUUAAAUACGGUGACCUUGAACAGUAAAGCACAGUGUGUGGCUCUCUAAAUCAAGCAGAUGACAUACCAAAACACAGACUGAUACACAUUUUAACACGCCGCCAUGCACAGCUGUGGCUUCUUCUGCCUGCCCUCUAGAGUCAGGUAAGCAGUCCUCUUGGCCAUCACAUGGAGCUAUGACCUCACGAGUAUGGCUGUCGACCUCUUCUGGCUGCA